This 771-nucleotide ribosomal RNA is filed under the name uncultured Neocallimastigales. RNAcentral describes it as "partial large subunit ribosomal RNA". It matches the Rfam family "Eukaryotic large subunit ribosomal RNA", at positions 22 to 646 of the family's 3401-position model. The record is from RNAcentral. Lineage: Eukaryota; Fungi; Neocallimastigomycota; Neocallimastigomycetes; Neocallimastigales.
GUACACGCUGUGACUAGCAUAUCAAUAAGCGGAGGAAAAGAAACUAACAAGGAUUCCCUCAGUAACGGCGAGUGAAGCGGGAAGAGCUCAAAUUUGAAAUCUUGAAAGGUCACCUUUCACGAAUAGUAGUUUAAAGAAGUGUUUUCUGUUACGAUCGUAAUAUAAGUUCUUUGGUAUAGGACAUCACAGAGGGUGAGAAUCCCGUCUAUGAUUGCGAUUUGUAGCUUUGUGAUACACUUUCAAAGAGUCGGGUUGUUUGGGAAUGCAGCCCAAAACGGGAGGUAAAUUUCUUCUAAGGCUAAAUAUUGGCGAGAGACCGAUAGCGAACAAGUACCGUGAGGGAAAGAUGAAAAGAACUUUGAAAAGAGAGUUAAAUAGUACGUGAAAUUGUCAAAAGGGAAGCGUUUAACACCAGUGUUGUUUUCUGAAAAUCAACCUCUGUUAGCUUUAUGCAUGUUUGUUUAGACCUAAUCAGCUAUCUUGCAUGUUCUAUUGUUUGCAGUGGUGCACUUUUCAGUUUACAGGUCAACAUCAGUUUUUUUUACCGUAAAAAAGUUAAAGAAAGGUAGCUCAUGGCUCCGGUCGUGAGUGUUAUAGUCUUUUUCCUAUGCGGUAGGAGAGACUGAGGUCUGCAGUGUAGGCUAUUUGGCUAGAUACUCAGGUGCUAUGUGAUACCAUUUCAUAAACAACUUGUUGAUUAUGUUUUGUCUAUUGCAUACUCGCUUGUACUAUCAUACCUACGCUUAGGAUGUUGAGUAGCGACAUACGCAC